AGUGAACGCUGGCGGUAGGCCUAACACAUGCAAGUCGAACGGCAGCACAGUAAGAGCUUGCUCUUACGGGUGGCGAGUGGCGGACGGGUGAGGAAUACAUCGGAAUCUACUUUUUCGUGGGGGAUAACGUAGGGAAACUUACGCUAAUACCGCAUACGACCUACGGGUGAAAGCAGGGGAUCUUCGGACCUUGCGCGAUUGAAUGAGCCGAUGUCGGAUUAGCUAGUUGGCGGGGUAAAGGCCCACCAAGGCGACGAUCCGUAGCUGGUCUGAGUGGAUGAUCAGCCACACUGGAACUGAGACACGGUCCAGACUCCUACGGGAGGCAGCAGUGGGGAAUAUUGGACAAUGGGCGCAAGCCUGAUCCAGUCAUACCGCGUGGGUGAAGAAGGCCUUCGGGUUGUAAAGCCCUUUUGUUGGGAAAGAAAGGCAGCAGGUUAAUACCCCGCUGUUCUGACGGUACCCAAAGAAUAAGCACCGGCUAACUUCGUG
Molecule: ribosomal RNA, 492 nt
Filed under: uncultured bacterium
Lineage: Bacteria
Description: partial 16S ribosomal RNA
Rfam family: Bacterial small subunit ribosomal RNA
Source: RNAcentral